RNAcentral lists this ribosomal RNA (253 nucleotides) under uncultured bacterium. RNAcentral describes it as "partial 16S ribosomal RNA". It matches the Rfam family "Bacterial small subunit ribosomal RNA", at positions 524 to 776 of the family's 1533-position model. The record is from RNAcentral.
UACGUAGGGUGCGAGCGUUGUCCGGAAUUAUUGGGCGUAAAGAGCUCGUAGGCGGUCUGUCGCGUCGGUCGUGAAAACUUGGGGCUUAACCCUGAGCUUGCGGUCGAUACGGGCAGACUUGAGUUCGGUAGGGGAGACUGGAAUUCCUGGUGUAGCGGUGAAAUGCGCAGAUAUCGGGAGGAACACCGGUGGCGAAGGCGGUUCUCUGGGCCUUACCUGACGCUGAGGAGCGAAAGCGUGGGGAGCGAACAGG